CCUACGGGAGGCAGCAGUGGGGAAUAUUGGGCAAUGGGCGCAAGCCUGACCCAGCAACGCCGCGUGAAGGCAGAAGGCUUUCGGGUCGUAAACUUCUUUUGUCAGGGAAGAGUAGAAGACGGUACCUGAAGAAUAAGCCACGGCUAACUACGUGCCAUCAGCCGCGGUAAUACGUAGGUGGCAAGCGUGGUCCGGAUUUAAUGGGGGUAAAGGGCGUGUAGCCGGGUUGACAAGUCAGAUGUGAAAUCCUGCGGCUUAACCGCAGAACUGCAUUUGAAACUGUUGAUCUUGAGUACUGGAGGGGCAGAUGGAAUUCCUAGUGUAGCGGUGAAAUGCGUAGAUAUUAGGAGGAACCCCAGUGGCGAAGGCGGUCUGCUGGACAGCAACUGACGGUGAGGCGCGAAAGCGUGGGGAGCAAACAGGAUUAGAUACCCGAGUAGUC
RNAcentral lists this ribosomal RNA (442 nucleotides) under uncultured bacterium. Its description in RNAcentral is "partial 16S ribosomal RNA". It matches the Rfam family "Bacterial small subunit ribosomal RNA", at positions 338 to 795 of the family's 1533-position model. The record is from RNAcentral.